CAAGAUUUUAGCAAGAGUCUGACAUGGAAUACUAGAGAGACUUUAAGGAAGCAAUUUUAGGGAGGUGACUGAGAGAAUUAAGGGAAAUAUGGGCAGUUAGUUUAGACCCAAGGAGCCCUGUGUGUGUGGUAGGGGGUGUGAAAUCUGUCAGAUCAAACCAGUCAAAAGCAUAAAGUCAAGAGUUGUAAUUAGAAUCUGUACCUACUUUUAGAGUCUAGACCUCACCCUUGUGACCUCCCACUUGGAAUGCAAAUGAAAAGGCAAGCAAAUCUGAGGUAUUUCCUGCUAAGCAGUGAUUGUCUAUGAGCAUGAGGUCUAAGAGGGGUGCAUCUGUCGGGGAGACUCCACUGCCAUUGCAGGCCUGACAGGCCUCACUGAAUAAAGCACUCAGAGGAGCCGAUAUCAAGACCUGCAUCCUGCCAGCCUAACUGUUAGGGUGGCUUCCACAAACAGAAAGGCCCAUCAACGGAGAACAGCAACCGUACUGGCUAAAGCUGCUUCAAUCACGCUUCAGAAUCAUUCACAGGUAUCCAUGUGGUAGUUUCCUGAGAACCUGAACUCAAAAGAAUCCACAUAAAGACAGAUGGGGGAUUGCCUUCUUCCCCCCUCUGAUCCAGCUGUCACCAAUACCUUGGGAAAUCUGCAAUGUGGCACAAAGGGACUGUCAAGGCAGAAGCAGCAGAGAGUCUCCACUGUUCAUCAUCACAGUGCUCCUUCUAGUCCAUUGCCCGUGGCAGACAGGAUACCUACAGGAUGCUUGCAGGUCAACGAGAAGGCUCUGGAGUUAAAGGUCAGCACUCCAGCCCCAUAAUAGCAGAGCUGGGAGACACAGUUUUCUGCAAGAGCAUCUCUCACUUCAAGCAAGCUUUAAUCUCCGCAAAAUAAAAGAAAUUAUCUCUACA
This 902-nucleotide long non-coding RNA is filed under the name Mus spicilegus (steppe mouse). RNAcentral's name for it is "lncRNA (ENSMSIG00000028538.1)". The record is from RNAcentral. Lineage: Eukaryota; Metazoa; Chordata; Mammalia; Rodentia; Muridae.